Unclassified non-coding RNA from Cavia porcellus (domestic guinea pig), 101 nucleotides. Its record names the gene Vault. It matches the Rfam family "Vault RNA". Rfam says of the family: This family of RNAs are found as part of the enigmatic vault ribonucleoprotein complex. The complex consists of a major vault protein (MVP), two minor vault proteins (VPARP and TEP1), and several small untranslated RNA molecules. The record is from Ensembl. NCBI's taxonomy places the organism in Eukaryota, Metazoa, Chordata, Mammalia, Rodentia, Caviidae.
GGGCUGGCUUUAGCCCAGCGGUUCCUUUGAGUGUGGCUUCCCAACCGCCUGGACUGAUUAGUCCGGUGGUUCAAGACCCGCGGGCGCUCUUCAGUCCUUUU